GCGCCUCCCUUUCACCAUACCUCCCCUUGUAUUUUCUGCCCUCAAGUUGGUAAGACGAUUACCAAGUCAGGAUGUGGAAGUAGCUGGCAAUGAGGUUUCUGCAACACCAAAGAAUAUUUUUCAGAUAUUGCAUCAGACUAUUGAGAUAUUAUCUUCGGUUUCUUCACCAGAACUUGCCCUAAGAUUGUACUUGCAAUGUGCAGAGGCUGCCAAUGAUU
RNAcentral lists this unclassified non-coding RNA (218 nucleotides) under Hevea brasiliensis (rubber tree). The record is from RNAcentral. Lineage: Eukaryota; Viridiplantae; Streptophyta; Magnoliopsida; Malpighiales; Euphorbiaceae.